This 439-nucleotide ribosomal RNA is filed under the name uncultured bacterium. RNAcentral's name for it is "partial 16S ribosomal RNA". It matches the Rfam family "Bacterial small subunit ribosomal RNA", at positions 338 to 795 of the family's 1533-position model. The record is from RNAcentral.
CCUACGGGUGGCAGCAGUGGGGAAUAUUGCACAAUGGGGGGAACCCUGAUGCAGCGACGCCGCGUGGGUGAGGAAGUACUUCGGUAUGUAAAGCCCUAUCAGCAGGGAAGAAAAUGACGGUACCUGACUAAGAAGCCCCGGCUAACUACGUGCCAGCAGCCGCGGUAAUACGUAGGGGGCAAGCGUUAUCCGGAUUUAUUGGGUUUAAAGGGUGCGUAGGCGGACAGUCAAGUCAGCGGUAAAAAUGCGGUGCUCAACGCCGUACAGCCGUUGAAACUGGCAGUCUUGAGUGGGCGAGAAGUAUGCGGAAUGCGUGGUGUAGCGGUGAAAUGCAUAGAUAUCACGCAGAACUCCGAUUGCGAAGGCAGCAUACCGGCGCCCGACUGACGCUGAGGCACGAAAGCGUGGGUAUCGAACAGGAUUAGAUACCCGAGUAGUC